Molecule: long non-coding RNA, 278 nt
Organism: Haliotis rubra (blacklip abalone)
Lineage: Eukaryota; Metazoa; Mollusca; Gastropoda; Lepetellida; Haliotidae
Exons: 2
Source: RefSeq, a predicted model, not a curated record
CGUGGGGCAGGAACAGCAUCGAAGUCCAAGAAACUGUCAAAAUUCAACCUGCCGAACGCUAUCACCCAUCCACCUACUUUCCGCAUCCAGCUUUGCUCUUCACCAUAUUUGUGAUCAGUGCGAGGCAGUUGUGCCCUGUCCGAGAACUUCCGUUGACUGAUCGACUGAAGAACGCACCUGGCGUAAGUGCAGAAGUCCUCUUACAGAAAUAAAUUUUAUUUACUACUGGCAAUUUUUAUUUCAUGCUUAACGACUCGAAUUAAAUGUACAAAACUAUA